CGCUGGUCGGAAGGGCUUCCCACGAUCGGGGCCGUCCGACCGCGAGCUUCCGUCCCGCCAGACGCAUUUGUCUCUCGUCCGAAGGACGCCGCAGCCGGUCGGGCAGUGCAAACGCGACGGCCUGAGGGGCGGACGACGGCAGGUGGCCGGUGGCGCGCCYCGUGCGCGUCGCCGGUUGUUAGCCGGUCCGUCAGUGGCUCGUCGCUCGACCGAGGUGUCACGAGGCCCUUCGGGGCUCUCACGCCUCCUCCUUAGGAAGUCGGGACAGACCGUCGCAAGCGAAGGCCGCCGUCCCGUCGCACUCUCUCCGAGUGGGCGGGCGAACGGUCGGCGCCGAUGGCGACGGCGGGCCCGUCGGAGGCUGGAGGCUGGCGGCGAGUAGGUCGGUCACCCACCCGACCCGUCUUGAAACACGGACCAAGGAGUCUAACAUGUGCGCGAGUCAAUGGGUCUUGAACAGGCCCAGGGGCGCAAUGAAAGCAAAGGUCGGCACCCGUCGACCGAGUUGGGAUCCCCCUCGCGGGGCGCACCAACGACCCGUCCUAUCCGGCUCGCCGGUUGGGCGGAGUGUGAGCGUACACGUUGGGACCCGAAAGAUGGUGAACUAUGCCCGGACAGGACGAGGCCAGA
Molecule: ribosomal RNA, 630 nt
Filed under: Zorodictyna sp. DP-2014c
Lineage: Eukaryota; Metazoa; Arthropoda; Arachnida; Araneae; Udubidae
Description: eukaryotic LSU rRNA
Rfam family: Eukaryotic large subunit ribosomal RNA (bases 417-630)
Source: RNAcentral